Molecule: non-coding RNA, 1857 nt
Organism: Pocillopora verrucosa
Lineage: Eukaryota; Metazoa; Cnidaria; Anthozoa; Scleractinia; Pocilloporidae
Source: RefSeq, a predicted model, not a curated record
UCGGCACUUAACUCGGUAGCAUAUUAAUAGUUGCUGAGAGUUCUUCACCAAGGCAGCAUAAUAGGUGAAAGUACGGAUCAAUUGAGAAGGAAAUUUUGUGAAAACUGCGCUUCUUGGUUUGGGGAAAGCUUCUAUUAUGAUCACAUAUGUGAAAAGUCCAGUUUGCAGAGAUUAAACGUGAAAGUCACUCCUAGAAUUGGUGAGAAGUUCUACUGUAACCACUGCAAGAAAAGUGAGCAAAAGUACCUUCUAUGAGCAUCAGACACUAUAUGGUGAUAUUGCAUGUGGAUUCUCUAGUCAAAAUGUGGAGCUUGAGUUAGACAUGGACUCUGAUUCAGAAAAUGAAGGUGCUCUUCCUUGUUGGGAUGAUGAAGACAGGCAGUUCUUCUCAGAAGGAGAUUCUAAUGGUGGUGAAAAUGAUGUAGAUGAUGAAAUGUUACCAGAGGAGUCCUCAGUGGAAAAACAUGAAAGCUCCAUGCAAUCAGAACAGCAACUCUUGGAGGAUGAUGUUGAGAACAAUACUCAGAGCUUUGAGUAUUCUCAUGAAAUGGAAAACAGUGCAAAAAAAAUGUGGUAAACAGAAGGAACCAAGAAGUGAUUGCACAGAACUGAGGGCUUUGCUUUUAUUCUUACUUCUGUGGCAGGCAAUGUUCAAAGUUGCAGACAGGGCUAUUGUUCUACUCUUAAAGUUUUUUAAGCUGUUCUUAUCUGGUAUUGGUAAGAUGAUGCAAGCAGAAGUUCUUAUUACCUUGCCAAGAUCAUCCCAGAAACAUUGUUCAUGAUUCAAAAAAACCUUGGCCUUCAGAAGAACAGUUUUAUUAAAAAUGCAGUUUGCUUUAAGUGUAAAACUCUCUCUAAUUUUGAUGAAUGUGUUUGCCAAAGGCCAAAUGGUGAGGUUGUAUCAGCAAAAUGCAGUCAUGUGAGUUAUCCACGCCACCCACACCAAGCCCAAAGGAGGCCAUGUGGUUCCGUUCUGAUGAAAGUUAUGAGGUCAAGAGUAGGAGAGACAUUCUUGUAUCCUAGGCAGGUUUACUGCUUUAAAAAGGUUACUGAUUCAUUACAAGACCUUAUUAACAAGCCAAACUUCAUGGAAAACUAUGAAAAGUGGAGAAAUUGUUCCACCCAGCUGUCAGACAAUGUUCUUGGAGACUGUUUUGAAGGAAGAGUUUGGAAAGAGUUUCAGUAUGUGGAUGGAGAGCCCUUUCUUGCUAUACCAAAUAACUUUGCUCUCAUGUUGAACAUUGACUGGCUUCAGCCCACUCUUCAUGGUUCAAAAUCCAUUUGUGUCAUUUACAUGGUUGUAAUGAACCUUCCAAAAAAGGAACACUUCAAACCUGAAAAUCUUAUUGUUGUUGGAAUAAUUCCUGGGCCAAAGGAUCCUAAGCAUUAUAUCAAUUCCUUCCUGCAGCCAUUAGUAGAUGACCUUAUUGACUUGUGUGAUGGAGUUAUCUUAGACACAAACAUUUCUGGAACUGGGGAGAUGUUCUGAGCUGCUAUCUUAGCUUUGUCAAGUGAUAUACCAGCAACUUUGAAAUGUGGAGGUUUUAUUGGCCAUACUGCAAAGAAAGGAUGCAGCAAAUGCUUUAAAAAAUUUCCAAGAGCAUCAUUUGGUGAUAAACCUGAUUUCUCAGGAUUUGAUAGAGAAAGCUGGGAACAGCAAUCUAAUGAAGACCAUCGAGCAUCUGCAGAGAAAGUUUGCCAAGCUAAAACACCAAGUGAUGCCCAGAAAUUUGCCUCUUCAAGUGGAGCACAUUACUCUGUCCUGUUCCAGCUUCCAUACUAUGAUGCUAUAAGAUUCGCACUGAUUGAUCCCAUGCAUAACUUGCCUCUUGGGAGUGCCAAACAUGUUCUUAAGAC